Oncorhynchus keta (chum salmon) is the source of this 244-nucleotide long non-coding RNA. RefSeq lists it as uncharacterized. The transcript is spliced from 3 exons. NCBI's taxonomy places the organism in Eukaryota, Metazoa, Chordata, Actinopteri, Salmoniformes, Salmonidae. The record is from RefSeq and is a predicted model, not a curated record.
ACAGACAGACAGGAACAGAACAGUUAGAGAUGGGAGGAGAAAGGGAGACAGAGGUCAGAACAGUUAGAGAUGGGAGGAGAAAGGGAGACAGAGGUCAGAACAGUUAGAGAUGGGAGGAGAAAGGGAGACAGAGGUCAGAACAGUUAGAGAUGGGAGGAGAAAGGGAGACAGAGGUCAGAACAGUUAGAGAUGGGAGGAGAAAGGGAGACAGAGGUCAGAACAGAACAGUUAGAGAUGGGAGGAG